This 207-nucleotide long non-coding RNA is filed under the name Numida meleagris (helmeted guineafowl). RNAcentral's name for it is "lncRNA (ENSNMEG00000019176.1)". The record is from RNAcentral. Lineage: Eukaryota; Metazoa; Chordata; Aves; Galliformes; Numididae.
AGAAAAAGAUGUAGGCCUUCUAAGUUUAAAAAAAGAGACUUUUCUAUCUGUGGUCUUCAGGAAUUCUGAAAACAGCUUCAGGAUCAGAGCUGAAGUGAUGGCAAGCUGGAAACAAGCUGUAAUGAGCUGAAAAGAGGGAGCAUUAAGGUCAUGAACAUUGGACACCUGAUGUUGGAAAGGCUGCUCCAGAACGUUAUUUCUGUGUGA